ACAAAUUAAAAGGGGAUGCAAGGGAUUUUCUAAAUGCUAAAAGAGCUGGAAUAGGAGCAAUGGAGGAUGUUGUUGCUCCAAUUGUUUCUGCUACAAAUGUUGGUAUAGUAAAGGAUGCUAUAAAAAAGACUGCUGAAUUGAAGCCUACACAACUUAAUGUGAAUGGGAGAGAUGAUGCUGAUCAACAUGAAGUGGCUAGGAAUCCUGAUCUUACUGGAGUAUCAAAUGCACCUCAGGAAGAAGCUCCAAUUUAUUCUAGGGAGGAGCCUACUGCAGACACUAUGUCUUCUAGUGCAAAGGCUGGGCAGCUGUUAGUUACUGAGG
This 324-nucleotide long non-coding RNA is filed under the name Nicotiana benthamiana. RNAcentral describes it as "long non-coding RNA (NBEN_LNC003132)". The record is from RNAcentral. Lineage: Eukaryota; Viridiplantae; Streptophyta; Magnoliopsida; Solanales; Solanaceae.